AUGGGGGACUUCAACCACCCCGAUAUCUGCUGGAAAGACAACACAGCUAGGCACAAACAGUCCCGGAGGUUCCUGCAGAGCAUUGGUGACAACUUCUUGACACAGAUGGUGGAGGAGCCAACRAGGAGAGGUGUGCUGCUGGACCUCGUACUAACAAACAAAGAAGGACUGGUGGAAGAUGUGAAGGUUGGGGGCUGCCUUGGCUGCAGUGACCAUGAGAUGGUGGAGUUCAGGAUCCUGCGAGGAGGCAGCAGGGCACCAAGUAGGAUCGCAACCCUGGACUUCAGGAGAGCAAACUUUGGCCUCUUCAGGGACCUACUUGGAGGAAUCCCAUGGGUUAGGGCCCUAGAAGGAAGGAGUGUUCAAGAGAGCUGGUUAAUAUUCAAACAUCACUUCCUCCAGGCUCAAGAGCGGUGCAUCCCUAUGAGUAGGAAGUCAAGCAAAGGAGGCAGGAGACCUGCAUGGAUGAGCAAGGAGCUCCUGGCAAAACUCAGCCAGAAGAAGGAAGUAUACAGAAAGUGGAAAGGGGGACAGGCCACUUGGGAGGAAUAUAGGAACGUUGUCAGAGUAUGCAGGGAUGCAACGAGGAAGGCUAAGGCCCGUUUGGAAUUAAAUCUGGCGAGAGAUGUCAAGGACAGCAAGAAGGGCUUCUUCAAAUACAUCAGCAGCAAGAGGAAGACUAGGGAAAAUGUGGGCCCUUUGCUGAAUGGGGUGGGUGCCCUGGUGACGAAGGAUACAGAGAAGGCAGAGUUACUGAAUGCCUUCUUUGCUUCAGUCUUUACUGCUCAGGCCAGCCCUCAGGAACCCCAGAUCCUGGAGGCAAGAGAGAAAGUCUGGAGAGAGGAAGACUUUCCCUUGGUGGAGGAGGAGUGGGUUAGAGAUCAUUUAAGCAAACUUGACACCCACAAAUCCAUGGGCCCUGAUGGGAUGCACCCACAAGUGCUGAGGGAGCUGGCGGACAUUAUUGCUAAGCCACUCUCCAUCAUCUUUGAAAGGUCAUGGAGGACAGGAGAGGUGCCUGAGGACUGGAAGAAAGCCAGUCACCCCAGUCUUCAAAAAGGGCAAGAAGGAGGACCCAGGGAACUACAGGCCAGUCAGCCU
This 1101-nucleotide long non-coding RNA is filed under the name Apteryx haastii (Great spotted kiwi). RNAcentral describes it as "lncRNA (ENSAHAG00000009877.1)". The record is from RNAcentral. Lineage: Eukaryota; Metazoa; Chordata; Aves; Apterygiformes; Apterygidae.